Molecule: long non-coding RNA, 3021 nt
Organism: Manis pentadactyla (Chinese pangolin)
Lineage: Eukaryota; Metazoa; Chordata; Mammalia; Pholidota; Manidae
Exons: 3
Source: RefSeq, a predicted model, not a curated record
UUACAUUGUCCCAGGUAAGUAGAAAUAAAGCCAGCUGUAUCAGUCCCAUCUCUCUUCAAAAGCAUUUGUUAGUCAGGUGACAGCCUCCUGCAUUCCCCCUCUUAAGAGGGGACUGAGUGUCUUUCUGGCUCUGGCUGGCAGGGUGAGGGGUCCAGGCCCCAUUCUCCUUUGCUAGUGGCUCCUUCUUGCCUCCCUCCAUUUCUGAGAUCAUCUUUCCUCCACCAGCAUCCACCGCUCUCUGCCCAACCCCGUGCGUCCAGGGGACACUUUUUCACAAAGAGCUUGGACGGAGCUGCCCAUGGGACUCCUGGUCCAAGGCAGUUAUUUGAGGGAUACCCUCGGGACCUGGGCAAGAGAAGAGCCCUCUGUGGCUAAGGAGACCCUGGGGUCACUGAGAAGCCAGUUCAUCACCGUCAUCAGUCUCAUUAUCAUUAUUAUUGUCCUUGCUUUCUUCCUGCCACUACUGGCAAGUGGGCAUGGGUCUGUCAUCUGGCCUGCAACAAGACAACUGGCCACAGGGGGCAGCAGGAGGCAGAAGCUUUCCCUAAAAAUAAUACUAAUGCACCCCCUGGAACAACGCGGGUCACAGAAUCCUAGGAAGACGAGGACCCAAGGCCCCUGCCCGCAGACUAUGUCCCAGACAGAGAAGCCGUGAGCCCACAGCUGGUCAGGAGAGUGAGGCAGAACCCGAAUUCAAAGACUCUAGCUCUCCCCUGUCCCUCUGCAUGCUAUGGCUCCAGCCUUGAGUUGGGUUUGAGUCCAUAACCUCCUGUCCCAUCUUUUGAGAGCGUGGGCUGUGGGGUCCCCAGGGUGGCUCAUGGAGAUCCUGCUCUCAUGGAGGGGUCUGGUCUGACAGCCCCACACAGGAGUCUAGGGGAGGACAAUCCCAAUAGAGUGGACUGCCCUACAGUCCCUAAGAGCUGGAGGAAUCAGAGCAGGAGAAAGUACUGGGUGUUGGAAGAAUGGGUUUAGGCUGAGGCUGGGUGGGAUGUCAGCGCCAGUGGGUCAGGAGGAACCGGGGGCCACAUGAGAAACAGCCUGAUGGGGCCAGGAGAUGAGGCUGGAGGCGGUGGGAGAUGGAGCUGGACCAGGAGGGCGGCUCAGACCACAGGUGUCCCCAGAGCAGGCAGAGGACUCAGGCCCAGGAAGCCAGCCUGGAGUUUGAGCUAGAAGAAGGAAUUGGGGCACAGGUGGGACUGGGCCUUGCAGGGAUUCUCUGGGACUGGCUGGGGGAUGAGAGGUGGGCAAGAUGAGAGGCUGCAGUAACCCCAGGCCAGGGAACUCCCCAGAAGCUGGUGGCAUCCCUCACCUGCGGAAGGGUCCUGGCAACAUUGAUGGAAUUGAAUCAAAUGCUUAAGGGCAGGUGUGUCCUCGGCUCCGCAUCAGGCAGGGGUCACAGGUCAGAAGAGGGGCUGUCUGGUGGGGAGUACUCAGAACUUUAGGGACAGGCAAAACAGGAAAGAAUCCAGAUCGCCCUUAUAAGAUCUCCCACCAGCCAGCACAUGACAGAGGUGAGGAGAGGGCAGCCAGCCCACCCACUCCUGCUCAUCUCAUGGACUCCCAGCCCUACCCCUGCCUCUGCCUCUCUCGGGAGGGCCUCCCCUCACUUGCGUGUGGUCUGAAGCUGCCAUGUCCCCCUCUAAUCCUCAGUUUCCCUUUCUGACCCAGCAGGGCAGGACCAGAUGUUCUCUGAGGGCCAUUCCAUGUGACAGACUCAGGACCUCCACUGGACCCAGGCAGCUUGGGUCUGGGGUUGUGAACACUGAGGUUGGAACUUUCCAAAUGGUCCAGGAGAAAUCAGCACUUUAGGGUGACAGAGCCUUGGGCUGUGUGGGGUCUCUCAGUACUCCAGGCAGCAUUCCCGGCCCACGUUGGUGGCUCGAGCUGCGGAGGGAGAAUGCAGGAGCAGGUGCUUCUAAGUGUCUACGUGGGAGUCCUGGGGAGCUGGGGUGGUCUGGGACUGUGGGGCAACUGUCUGUGGGGGGAGUCUGCGUGUGCAUGUCUCUGGGUGUGUACCUGUGUGUGUGCAUUUCUGCAGGCAUGUGUCUGUGUAUUGUUGGGGGCCUCCUAUGUGGGGGUGUCUGCAAGUGUGUUUUUGUGUGGGGACUAUGUGAGGGGUCUGCACAUGUGUCUGUGUGUGUCAGUGCGUGCACACUGUGUGCAUGAGGUCCCUGUAUGGGCUUUGGGAGCCCCUGUGUGUGUAUGUGUGUCUGUGUGUGUUUGGGAGGGUUUGUGCAUGCAUAGCUGUGUGUGAUUCAGGGUGUGUCUGUGUGUGAAUACAUUUGUGUGUGUGAGGUCUGUGUGCUCUGGGGAGCUCUGUGUUUGCUUGUGUGUGUGCACGCACGUACUGCGUGGGGGAGUCUGGGCAUGUAUAUGUGUAUGUGUACAUGUGUUUCUGCACAUGUUUGCAUAUGUGUGUGCUCACACUACAUACCAGCCCUGAAUCACCAACCAUUGACUCUGGGCUGAGCCUUUGCCUGCAGCAGCUCAUUCAGAGUCCCCAGCACACACACGUGUGAGCACUACCCCAUUUUACAGACGACAAAACAGAGGCCCUCGUUGUGAAGGCAUCUCCUCGACACUCAGUUUCCUCAUCUUUGCUCAAGAAAAAGUAUCCAACACUCCCAAAUAGGCGAACUGGUGCCAUGUGGCUUUAACGAAUACCACAGUAGAGUGUUUUCUAAGAACACUUCCACUGUCCUCUGACCAUCUCUGGGGUAUAACUCGGUUUGACUAACUCACAGAGCUGACCGGACCAGCGUUUUACAGCAGUGAGAGCAUCGUGCCGCCCAGCUGGGAAGGUUGCCCUGCUGAGAAGGUGGCCUCCAAGACUGCACCUGUCUUGCCACGCAGGACACGAACCAGCUUUGUUUCCAGAGUAGCCAUCUUAUUUCAGCCUUCUUUUCCCAACUGAAUAUAAAAAUCUCUUUCCACAUUCUCUGGGAACCAGUUCUCCUGCUGUUAGGUGGAUUCCCUCAUUAUAUAUAAGACCCACUAAUAAAACAGAUGCUAACAAAUGCU